GACGCUCAGGCUCCGCCCCCUGCAUGUCUUUGUUGGCAAACAGUUCUGGGGGUCGUCCGAUCCUGCAGAGACCGUCCAGGCUGGACUUGAACUCCUUCCUCGGCUGAAGUGAUCCUCCUGCCUCAGCGUCCUGAAUAGGAAGUGGAGCCAGAAUCCACAGAUGUCAUUAUCCAUCUGCACACUUUGUUUACUACCCAGAAGGCAAGAAUAUUGCAUUUUAAAAGUGCCCGGACUUUUGUUCUUUCUUAUCACAAAUGACUUGGGAAGCUCCGACCACUCAUGUUUACCCCGAGUGAAAGUCCCAUUCAAAGCCUUGCUUCCUGGAGAGCUUUGAGAUUCUGGUACAAAAGGCAUUUUAUAAGCACAAAGUGGAAAAGCAUCAUUCAUAUUCAUUUGCUGCUGCGGCAUUUCUCCCUGGAAUCUUCCUCUUGUCUGUCAACAUUGGGCAAAAGGACUGGCCUCAUCUACAUUACAGAUAUCCUUGUGAUGGUCUGGAGGGACCUGUGGGAGAGGCGGCCAUCCAGAGGGCUCUCUGAGGGGUCAUUUAGAAUGCAACUCUUCUGGGCAGAGGAUGGUCUGCACUGGCCUCCACCACGCAGGAAGGCUUCCAGAGUGGAGAAAUGUCCACUAACAUGGCUUCUGUGAGGUCAUGUGCUGGGUGCUGGGAACACAAAGGUAUCAUUCUGAUCAUUGUUGUUACAGGAGAGAUGAGAGGAAGUUAGAGGGGCUAGAAGAACCAGGAGACCUGUUGAAAAUCAUGAAUACAAAGAGAGGUCGUUUGCUUCUGUGCUUCAAUUCUAUAAUAAAAUGAGUACAAUGUCA
Homo sapiens (human) is the source of this 822-nucleotide long non-coding RNA. Ensembl annotates it as EDRF1 divergent transcript. Its record names the gene EDRF1-DT. The record is from Ensembl. Lineage: Eukaryota; Metazoa; Chordata; Mammalia; Primates; Hominidae.